ACCUGCACCAGAACCCGAAGGUGUUUUUUAUCCAUCUGUGAACCAACAACUAUCUGCUCUCAGUCAUAAUAUGGACUGGGCAUCAAAGAGAAAACAUUGACUACACCAAAUAAAAAAAGAUGAAGAGAUUAACGUCUAGGCAUGUACGCCACUCAUACACGUCACGUAAACGUCAGAUGCGAAGUCACAAUGUUUUAUACGUUGCAUAUUUCCAUUAGGUUUGUUCUAGCAGCGAUUUCAAACGAUACGGAAUCGUACGAAGCAUGCGCAUACGAAUAUAGGCGUUCUAGCAAAGCAAAUCCAGGAUUCGAACUAAUAAUCGCAUGUUCUAGCGAAGACGAAAUCCAGUUUGCAAACCGUAUGAGAACUGUCGAAGUAGUCCAGAGGAAUUCGUAAGGAUUUUCAGUUUGUGACAUGCGCAAAUAUUCGGAGUGAUCCGAUAUCACGUUUGUUAUGAUUUUGGAAUAUGGAUUUGUUGGUUAUGUUAUGUCCUAAAGAAAUGAGAAACCAAAAUAGAAAUAUUUAGUGGCCUGAUAAUUGGUUUAAAAAUCUUGUUUUUUAUAGAACGACAAUCCUCAAAACUGUCAAUUUUUUCAUAUUUGCGUUUGGAAAUUCAGGUAGGAUUAGCCGAAAUGUCAUCAGAGUCAUCAAGCUCUGAAUCAAAUUGGGGAAAUAAUUCUGAAUCAUCCAGUGAUGAGGAACUUAUCGAAAUGCUGUUUCAUCACCAUGAGGAAGAGGAUGAAGAUAAUCACAUCAAUAGAGAUGCUGCAGACCACAGAAAUUUUGUAGCUUGACAAGUUUUAAGAUAGCAAUAAAAUUGUAAUAUUUCUGUUUGUUGAUGUUCAUUUCAUUGUUUGGCAUAAGUUAAAUAAACAUCCAUUCAGGUAAAAUAA
Leptinotarsa decemlineata (Colorado potato beetle) is the source of this 893-nucleotide long non-coding RNA. The record is from RefSeq and is a predicted model, not a curated record. Lineage: Eukaryota; Metazoa; Arthropoda; Insecta; Coleoptera; Chrysomelidae.